RNAcentral lists this non-coding RNA (24 nucleotides) under Arabidopsis thaliana (thale cress). Lineage: Eukaryota; Viridiplantae; Streptophyta; Magnoliopsida; Brassicales; Brassicaceae. The record is from RNAcentral.
GGGUUGCCAAAGUUGUAUCUUAGG